GGGCCCGUAGCCUAGCCAGGAUAGGGCGCCAGCCUCCUAAGCUGGUGGUCCGGGGUUCAAAUCCCCGCGGGCCCG
Transfer RNA from Fervidicoccus fontis Kam940, 75 nucleotides. It matches the Rfam family "tRNA". From Rfam's summary of the family: Transfer RNA (tRNA) molecules are approximately 80 nucleotides in length. Their secondary structure includes four short double-helical elements and three loops (D, anti-codon, and T loops). Lineage: Archaea; Thermoproteati; Thermoproteota; Thermoprotei; Fervidicoccales; Fervidicoccaceae. The record is from Rfam.